CAAGAGGGCGCACACAGACAAGUAGGGCGAGGUAGUACAGUGCUUUCAUCAGACAUCAAGUAUUUCACAUUUUGCAGAUGGGUCAUGUCAUUGUUUCACCGGGCGCUUGGAGUAUCAGUCAGAUCUGCAGUUCUGCAUACUAUCACUGUUUUGUUGCUUUGGAUAGUGUUGGUGUUUUGUGGUCUUUCCACUACUCGCUGUCAGGUUACAAUGUUGCGACACUGUAUUUUAGUUGUGUAUUACAUAUCGAAGUAGCUGUA
Molecule: long non-coding RNA, 260 nt
Organism: Solanum pennellii
Lineage: Eukaryota; Viridiplantae; Streptophyta; Magnoliopsida; Solanales; Solanaceae
Exons: 2
Source: RefSeq, a predicted model, not a curated record